AUUGGUAUUGAUCAGGCCCGGUGGAGGCCGGGCGCGGGCCACAGGAGCCAGGCGCCCCUGGGCCACAUCGCCAAAACUGGUGGCAGUGCUCGGUGGCCCCGGCACCCGUGUGAGCUGCUCGCUGGUGCCAGCCUCUUCUUGGGGGCCGUGGCAGAGGGCGUGACGUGCCAGGAUGGGAGAGGGAGACAGAGGCGAGGAAGGGACACAGGGAGCCACAGAGGGGAGCAGGAGUCGGCUCUGCCCCCCACUGGGCCGGCACCCUCCCCCCCCACCCCCCCACCCCCCCCCCGGCACAAGGGGCUGGCUGAGGCGAGGGCCGCCUCCCAGCGUCUCCCGGCAGCCGCCCUUGUCACACAUGUCUUCAAAGACAGAGGCACCGACCGAGCCCUGCCCUUGAGGGCUCUGGUUCCUGGGAGGCAGAACCACCAGGGACCAGCCCAGCAAGCUGCCUGCCAGCUGCCCAGUGCCGGGCAAUGCUCCGAGCCCCUCGCUCCUCCCCCCGCAGCAGGCUCUAUGCUCAGCGCCCCCUCCUGUCCUGGACCAGUCUCCUGCACCGACAGUGCUCAGUGUCCAGAGCAACCCCAGUGUAGCCAGCUCCAGGCACCGACUCACAACCCUGUCUGCAGAGGGUAAGUUCCGGGAGAGGCUCAGGGGCGGGCAGGGGAGAGGCAGGGUGGGACGGACAGAGGUGGAGUGGGCGGGUGGAGAGGGAAGAUGGAACUGACGGACCCUUCUGCCCCGGACACCUGCCAGCUCCCGUCACGCCCCCACCUGGGACCCUGUUGGGGUGCGAUGUCCCUCCCCAGCCACCCCUGCACUUCAGCAUCUCUCGGAGAUGGCCUGUCGUCCACUCCUGGGGUUGGCACUCGCCCAGGCUCUGGGCCAGGUUGCCCCGCAGGCCGGUCCUUGUCCUCGCGGGGCAGGGACAUACAGACCCAGCUCCAUAUCCGGCGGGCCGCAGGGGUGAGUGGUCAGGGAGCCCAGCGGGUGGCUGGGGGAGCCCACAGUGGCCCUUCUGAAUGACAUUUCUCGUACUUACCAUCCGCACUUCUCUGAGGUCACGCUGUGGCCUCCUAAUAGGCCGGUGUCCCAGGGAAAUUCACACUUUUCCACUUUGGGGAAGUGCAGCGAAAGCGCCCUCUUCCAGAAGGUUCUUCCCCACACCUGCGGUAGCAGCCUUCUAAGACACUGGUGGAGCCUCGAGCCUCGCUGCCGUGAUUUCGUGAGUGAGGAACAGAGCACUUUCGGGUGACACCCUUUUCUAAACGUGACCACUCUGUUUGGCCUUAAUGCAGGCGCGAGACACCGUCUGCCAUCCCGCCACUGGGGCAGACUCUCUGAGCCCUGCUCCGGCCAAGUCCCAGGUCAUUUCCCGCUGAAGACCCGGAGGGCCGCCGUGUGUCCAUUGGGCCGCACGUUUAGAUAAUUUUACAAAUUCGUUUCCUCCUUAAAUACCAUUCAAGGGACCUAGCAACAGUCACCUCCCCGAAGGGUUCCUGAUGGGUUACACGGGCCUCAUCCAUCCUGCCCGUGCCCCGUGUCACUCGGCCCCAAAUGCAGGGCCAGCCACGGCCGCGUUUGAACAUCCACUCGCUCCACGUCACUCGCCUGGAGAAUUAUCGUGGGGGCGCGAACGCUGCGUCUCACGCUGUGUAACGAUCUGCGUCGGGGCUGAGGGCACAUGUCCUACCCCUGCCUCCUCGUGGCCUCCUCAGCAGAGCUCUGGGCUGCAGGCCCAGUGGGGCCAGGGCUGCUGGGAAUCCCUUCCCCGCUGCAGAAGACCUUAGUGGAGGGCCGCCCCCCCUUACGGUGGUGGACUGGUUUUGCCUUGGGGAUCCACCGCUGCUCCUCCAGCCCACGUGUUACAGGCUCGGCUGCCUGGCUGCCAUCCAGGGCGGGCACGUGACCCUGGGGAGGGGGGUGAUUCGGGGACUGCAUCCAUGUCAGUGAAGUGGGUUCUUGAGGACAGAGCCGAUGUGGGUGGGACAGAGAGAGGAGAAAUCUCAUCUUGGCAAUACAUUUUAAAUCCUUUUUAAAUAAAAUGUUUAUUUUUGAGAGAGAGAGACA
Molecule: long non-coding RNA, 2067 nt
Filed under: Felis catus (domestic cat)
Lineage: Eukaryota; Metazoa; Chordata; Mammalia; Carnivora; Felidae
Description: lncRNA (ENSFCAG00000050694.1)
Source: RNAcentral